This 225-nucleotide long non-coding RNA is filed under the name Vitis vinifera (wine grape). Its description in RNAcentral is "long non-coding RNA (VVIN_LNC001037)". The record is from RNAcentral. Lineage: Eukaryota; Viridiplantae; Streptophyta; Magnoliopsida; Vitales; Vitaceae.
CCAAUUUCCUUAGCUUAGGCAUACAAAGCCACUUUCAUCAGUUUAGGCAUUCAGAACCACUUUACUCAAUUUAGGCUUUCAAAGCCGUUUUGCUCAAUUCUACCUUAUUCAGUUAGGCAUUCAGAGCCACAUUUUUCAGUUUAGGUGUUCAAAGCCAAUUUGCUUAGCUCCACCUUACUUAGUUUAGGUGAUCAGAGCCAUCUUGCUCAUUUCUUUCAAUUCAAG